GUGUGUGAUCAUACCAGUGUUAAUGCACCGUAUCCCAUCGGAACUUCACAGUUAAGCAUGCUUGGGAUAGAGUAUUGCUAGUA
Molecule: non-coding RNA, 83 nt
Organism: Picea glauca (white spruce)
Lineage: Eukaryota; Viridiplantae; Streptophyta; Pinopsida; Pinales; Pinaceae
Source: Rfam